This 446-nucleotide ribosomal RNA is filed under the name uncultured bacterium. RNAcentral's name for it is "partial 16S ribosomal RNA". It matches the Rfam family "Bacterial small subunit ribosomal RNA", at positions 338 to 795 of the family's 1533-position model. The record is from RNAcentral.
CCUACGGGUGGCAGCAGUCGAGAAUCAUUCACAAUGGGGGAAACCCUGAUGGUGCGACGCCGCGUGGGGGAAUGAAGGUCUUCGGAUUGUAAACCCCUGUCAUGUGGGAGCAAAUUAAAAAGAUAGUACCACAAGAGGAAGAGACGGCUAACUAUGUGCCAGCAGCCGCGGUAAUACAGAGGUCUCAAGCGUUGUUCGGAAUCACUGGGCGUAAAGUGUGCGUAGGCUGUUUCGUAAGUCGUGGGUGAAAGGCGCGGGCUCAACCCGCGGACGGCACAUGAUACUGGGAGACUAGAGUAAUGGAGGGGGAACCGGAAUUCUCGGUGUAGCAGUGAAAUGCGUAGAUAUCGAGAGGAACACUCGUGGCGGAGGCGGGUUCCUGGACAUUAACUGACGCUGAGGCACGAAGGCCAGGGGAGCGAAAGGGAUUAGAUACCCCUGUAGUC